GGAGUUGGCCGGACAGUCGCUGUGCCGCGUGCGGCAGGGAGGAAAGUCCGGGCUCCGCAGGGCAGAGUGCCAGGUAACGCCUGGGAGGCGCGAGCCUACGGAAAGUGCAGCAGAGAGCAGACCGCCGAUGGCCCCGCAAGGGGAUCAGGUAAGGGUGAAAGGGUGCGGUAAGAGCGCACCGCGCGACUGGCAACAGUUCGUGGCACGGCAAACCCCACUCGGAGCAAGACCAAAUAGGAACCCAUUGGCGUGGCCCGCGCUGGGUUCGGGUAGGUUGCUAGAGGCUGUCAGUGAUGGCAGUCGUAGAGGAAUGACUGUCCUCGACAGAACCCGGCUUACAGGCCAACUCCAUUU
RNAcentral lists this RNase P RNA (354 nucleotides) under Halopseudomonas yangmingensis. RNAcentral describes it as "Bacterial RNase P class A". It matches the Rfam family "Bacterial RNase P class A". From Rfam's summary of the family: Ribonuclease P (RNase P) is a ubiquitous endoribonuclease, found in archaea, bacteria and eukarya as well as chloroplasts and mitochondria. Its best characterised activity is the generation of mature 5'-ends of tRNAs by cleaving the 5'-leader elements of precursor-tRNAs. Cellular RNase Ps are ribonucleoproteins. Lineage: Bacteria; Pseudomonadati; Pseudomonadota; Gammaproteobacteria; Pseudomonadales; Pseudomonadaceae. The record is from Rfam by way of RNAcentral.